UGAGGAAUUUUCGGCAAUGGGGGCAACCCUGACCGAGCAACGCCGCGUGCAGGAAGACGCUUUUCGGAGUGUAAACUGCUUUUCCCAGGGACGAGAAUGGACGGUACCUGGGGAACAAGCCCCGGCUAACUACGUGCCAGCAGCCGCGGUAAUACGUAGGGGGCGAGCGUUGUCCGGAGUUACUGGGCGUAAAGGGCACGCAGGCGGUCUCCCAAGUUUAGAGUGACAGUUGGUGGCUUAACUGCCAAAGUGCUCUGAAAACUGAGAGACUUGAGAGCUUCAGAGGGACUCGGAAUUCCGGGUGGAGUGGUGAAAUGCGUAGAGAUCCGGAGGAACACCAAAGGCGAAGGCAGAGUCCUGGGGAGCAUCUGACGCUCAGGUGCGAAAGCCAGGGGAGCGAACGG
This 404-nucleotide ribosomal RNA is filed under the name uncultured bacterium. Its description in RNAcentral is "bacterial SSU rRNA". It matches the Rfam family "Bacterial small subunit ribosomal RNA", at positions 355 to 775 of the family's 1533-position model. The record is from RNAcentral.